GUUAAGCCUUCCCCCAAAGCCUCUAGUGGCUGUCUCAUUGACAACCACUAGAGGCGCUUGCGUGCUUCUCACUGUGAUUUUCACAGUGAGAGCACGCCAGCGUCCAUAGGAAAGCAUUGUAAAUGCUUCCCUAUGCGACCGGCUGAAUGCGCGCGCAGCUCUUGCCGCGCGUGCGCAUUCAGCCGACGGGGCGGAACGGAGGAGGAGAGAAGGAGGAGAGCUCUCCGCCCAGCAC
Pelobates cultripes (western spadefoot toad) is the source of this 235-nucleotide non-coding RNA. The record is from the annotation of a GenBank genome assembly. NCBI's taxonomy places the organism in Eukaryota, Metazoa, Chordata, Amphibia, Anura, Pelobatidae.